UACGUAGGGUGCAAGCGUUGUCCGGAAUUAUUGGGCGUAAAGAGCUCGUAGGCGGUCUGUCGCGUCGGCUGUGAAAUCCCGGAGCUCAACUCCGGGCCUGCAGUCGAUACGGGCAGACUGGAGUUCGGCAGGGGAGACUGGAAUUCCUGGUGUAGCGGUGAAAUGCGCAGAUAUCAGGAGGAACACCGGUGGCGAAGGCGGGUCUCUGGGCCGAUACUGACGCUGAGGCACGAAAGCGUGGGGAGCAAACAGG
RNAcentral lists this ribosomal RNA (253 nucleotides) under uncultured bacterium. Its description in RNAcentral is "partial 16S ribosomal RNA". It matches the Rfam family "Bacterial small subunit ribosomal RNA", at positions 524 to 776 of the family's 1533-position model. The record is from RNAcentral.